CAAUGGCAAUUGUAAAUUGUUAAUUUGAAAAAGUUCAUGAAUAUUGCUAGCAUCAAAAAUUAUAAACUUCUAUUGUCAUGAUUGAUUGAAAGUGUUUCAACAUAGACUCAAAGUUAAUGGUCCAUGUUUGUCCCUACGCUUCAUCCUGGAAGGGUGUCAACUUACUGAAAGAAGGGACUGCACUCGUUUUGUCUGGAUCUUGCGAUGGGGUCGUACAGUUUCAUCACCCUGCACCCAGAAUAUCCUUAGAACAUCAGACAUCUCAGUCGUCAUGGCUUCAUAGUUGAAAGUAUUGCCUACGAUAAAAAAAACUUGAAGAAUUAAAACCUCCAACUUGUACAAACAUCCAGCCCUAAUUCCGUACAGUGCAAUCAGAAAAAACGCACCACAAGAACAAGGAACUAGCUACACUAGACACGCUACCCACUCUUUUAGCAGUAUGCAGGAGGGAAUAUUCAUUUCAUGAAGAACUUGAAGGCGAUGACAUACUUUAACACCGUCAAUCUUAAGUUGUAAUUGAGUCAGAAGUUCCAUCAAUCGUGCAAGUUCCUGCACAACAAGUGUUCAUGCACCUGAAUGUUACAUUCCUUCCGCUUUCAUCCGAGUAUAACAAAUCACAGACAAACGACACUCGUUUUACAAGGAAUAAAAACCGGCUUUCCAAUUCUUGUUACGCUAGAACUGAAAUUGAAAGACAAUGUUAAACCCUGUUCUAAUAUUCACAACCACGUUCGUACACAGUAAGAGAAAGAGAAGAUUAAAGAAGCAAAAAAUACACGCGGUCAGGGUUCUACCUUUUGCUGGGUGGGACUCAAUUCGAUGCUUGAACCAGCGCUGCUUAAAAAAACAUAACAUUCCUCGCCAAGUUUAUCCACCUGUAAAAAAAAGUAGUUAAUACAAUUGCGUAUGCAGCAGAAUGAACUAUCGUUGUGAAUUAACUGAUAAGUAGUGGGUUAUGCUGGAUUACACCAACUCGUCAACAUCAGGCGGAUCAUCCGGAUUAUCCACUCUUCAACCUCGGCAUUCAUGCUCUAAAUAUGCCAACGUGACCUCCACAUUUUCAGAACCUUUCAAUAGACAGUUGGAGGCAUAUGUCAAGCCAAUAAUGAUCAAGAUCUUGAAAGGUCUACGAACGGCAUGCUAACCUUGCGUGCAAGCAUGAGAAUGGAGCCCAAGGGCGUGAGUGAUGAACUGGCGGUGCUGUUGCUCUCUUUCGCAAGACGAGCUUCAGCUGCCUCUGCUCGUAAUGCCCGAAGUUGGGCCAAGUUCACAGGAAAAUUGUCCCGUGGCUCUGUACUAUCCCUACUGGAAGGAUUACCAGUCGAUGCCGACCUUCCAUGGUUUCUCCCAUCGCCACCGGUACGCCUGCCUAUGUCCAAAGCACAUGACAUAUCAUAAUUAUUCACAAUACAGAGUUGCAAAAGCAAAGUAGGAUAUUAACACAACUAUUGUAAACUUGGUCAGGAGUCUGGAAACCUAAAGCUAUACAGAUUACAAUAUAAAUAUAUAAAUAUAUGUGUAUUCCACGUAAAUAUCAGAAACGAAAUUACAAUCCGUGCAGAAACAAUCAAACCUCAAAGAGUUUUCGUACACUCAGUCAAUAUUGCACUGCACGUCAACAGCGAGCACGAAAUUGGAAUUAGCUAAUGUCACUACAGUUCGAAGGAAGACAAGUAUAAGAACAUGAGCCAGGAAGAGAGAAAAUCUUCACCUCCGCGGCGGCUGAAGAAAUGGCCUCCUAUGAUCAUGGCAGCUGCCGCAACGGCCAUCAUAGAGGCACUUAUCCAGGCAGGUUUUGCAUGAUCCUCAUAAUACGCAGGCCGCUUCGGAACCUCUGAAUUAUACUCCCUCACCGCUAACCACUUCCUUCUCUCCAUUUUGGUACAGUACUGACGGAGCGCCUAGAGGUGGAGUAUUCUCAGCUAGUCAUGCUAAAGCUGAGAUGCUAGCUGAAGCUUGAAAUGAGAGGCCUAGAGAGAAAAAACAUAAAACCAAAAUAGCAACUUCAGCUCGCAAAAUCACCCACAACGUUACCACUUCGGAACCAUGAAUCGAGCAGGCAACAUUGACAUUUGCAAUCUCCCUAAUCCCGCGACAUUCACACCUAGGGUUUAACGCUCAAACAUCUCGUGCAAGUGAUAGGAAUCCCAAAGCACAAAUACUGCCAACCCCACUUUCUAAAUUUCGAUCAAACUCGAAGAUUCGUAGUGCGAAUCCACUAACUGACUGCAACCGGCUGAUUCAGAAUCUUUUCUGCUUUACUUUCUUUUCGCCUUUCUUUUCCCCUUUCCUCAUCAACCUACUCCCACAUCAUCGCCAAACUUCCCAAAACUGGUUUCAAACCGACUCAACGACAUAUACUACAAUGACCAUGAUCACCAACUACGAGGCCAACAACGCAGGAUGCAUUGAGGCCCCACAAAGAGUCUCCCGCAUGACUAAAAACAACGAGAAAUCCAGGUGAGAAAGUGGGGACAUGGCAAAGAGGACAAAUCCAUGCGAGAAGUCGAGAGACAAUCUGGUCAGCAAGGGAAGAAUAGCAAAAGAGCUUACGGCAGAGGAUGGGGUAUUCUGAAGAAUCACAAUGCAGCAGAAUGCGUCUCACCUGGAAUCCAAUGGUGCGUGUGCUUCGUUGUGCGUCACCGUUGCAAUUGUGCGGGCAGUGGAAGCAUGAAUGGAAGGCAGGCACGCAACACGAGCACCAAGCUCGCGAGGGGAGCUGAGCUCGGCGUGCGGGCACGGGCACCGUGAUGACGCGGUGAAAGAGGGACCCUGGCGGAGGCGGAUAAGGGCUAUGUUUGUUCAUAGGAGCAUCCAUGGUCACAGGGCUCCUCGUCAUAUAUAUAUAUAUAUAUAUAUAUAUACAUACUGGUGGAAACCUGUGCCAUUGGCCACAAAAUUUUUUGAAUGUUACUGAAAAGUAUGAUUGGGACCUUUCAAGCUUCACACUUAGUUAUCUCGCAAUGCUACUCUCAACAAUUUGUAGCAAUAGUAUGUAGAUUUUGAUUCUGACCUUUGAUUGAUCAAAAGUUGAAUUAUUACUUCUUUUUCGCUUCACUUUUGAUAAAAACAAUGAGAAAUGCAACCAAUAGAAUUAAAGUGAAAUAUUGUUAGUACAAAUCUUAAUGUACUAGAACAUUAUAUUCACAUCAAAUAUUGAACAUACUGUUUUUAAGUCAUAUAAGUAAGUAGUUCAAUAUUUAAAUGUAAGAUGCCUUUAAGAGAUUUAAUUUUAUCAACUUUAAAUUUUAAAACUCGGAGAAAAAGUUGUCCAAAGAAUAUGACAUUUAAAGACAAAUAUAUCAAGCUUAGAUAAAAACUAGUAUACAAAAAUUAUGAUAAAAUUACAUCUAUUUGGUAUAUAUAUAUAUAUAUAUAUAUAUAUAUAAUUUUAUUUUAUAUGCUAUAAUCAGUAGAUCUAUAAUUAAUUAAAAAUAAAUAUGAAUACUUGUGACAUACAUGAUCCAAAGUCGUCCACCUUAUAUAUAUCUAGUUAGAGCCAGAUGGCUAAUUUCAGAAAGAAACAAUACUUGAUAAGCUCUAGCCAAUGAUUGAGUUGCAUGCUAGUUAGACCAUACUAUAAUUCACAAUUAAUUAAAAACAACCUUCAUUCCAAAAUACAUGUCAAAAUAGAAUGCAAUUAUUUAAUACAUUGUAUACAAUUAAUAUCUAUAGGAUUGAGACUAUUUUUUUAUUCACCUAAUCUAUAAUAGAAAUUGAGAUAUUAUGAAAUUAUUUAUAAAGCUAGCAAAGUUAAAAACACCUUAAAAAAUAAAAAAAUAAAAAUUAUUAUACAAAUCCAUGUUGAUUAUCAAUAUAUGUACCAAGAGAAAGAUUUGUACAGUUGAAAAUAGGAUGCUUUGCUACUUUGUCUGUAGGCACUAAGUAUAUUAGAGGCUAACCAUACAUAUGGAGAUGGACAUAGCUUAGAGUAAGGCAAUUGAAUGGAUUAGUUGUAGUAGUAUUAUUACCCUUAAAAAUCUUUAUGUUGCUACCUUGUAGAACAACCACUUACAUGUCAAGAAAUUGCUUCAUGAGGAUAUGAUUUGCUGUCAAGAAUUUUUUUUAUUGCACAAGUUUUAUGACAAAAAAUUUAGUAAAAUUUAGUCAAUGAUUGCCAUAAUUAUACUACAAAUUAUUUAAAGAUUACAUAACAAUAUCCAUCAACAAAGGUUACAUUUUCUAUUAGAAAUUAGAGGCCUUUGUAUUGCAAAUAGACUUCAUGAUCUUCUACAAUCAAUAUCUAAAUCACUUAAUUUUACACUCCAAAGUAUCAAACAUAACAAUUCAUAAUCAUUUCAUUUCUAUGUAAUUCGAAUUGUGGAUUCUAUUAAGGCUAUAUAAAUUCAACUUUUGAUUCAUUUUUAAUAAAAAAAUUUGAUGAAAAAAAUGACGUAUGUAACAAAUUAAAGAAAGUUUUAGUUUUUCUUGUUUAUCAAAUAUAUUUUUUUCCUCAAUGAGUUAUUUUAUAUAAAAAAUAUAUAUAUAUAUGUUUGAGUUUGUAGAUAUACAUGUAUAUUAUAAUACUUAUUGCACAAGUUUACAUUGUCUUAUUUUUAUUAUGGAUAGUAAGGCAAUCUAUUCUUUGACUUAUAAUGACGUAUUUUUGUGAAUGUGGUGAAGAUUGUUUCACCAGCUCAUUCACAAAGUUUGAAAUUGUCACCAUGUUUGAAAAAAGAGAGGUUGUGCUUCUAUGGCCUAUAACAAUAUUGGUUCAAGUUGCAAUUUUUGUUAUGGUUGGAAAUUAAUGGACCUUGGAGACUCCUCAUAUGGUAUCACUUUUUCUACUUUAUUGACUUCUUUAAGAUUAAUAAUAAAGAAUUUUCCUUAAAAUAUUAGAUUUGAAGUUAAAUAAUUCUUAAGGGGGAAUAUCUACUAAUUUAAUUUAAUACCUAUUACAAAAACUUUGUUAAAUGUCAAUAUUUCAUGGAAUACUGCUUUUUGUUUUUGUCUUAUUUUUUAGACUUUUUUGUAUUUGUAAAUCUCCACCCAAGCUUCUAUACCAAUUUAAAUUAUUAUUUUUCAUGCUCUAUAUAUGAUUACACAUGUAUGUAAGAAGAUGUGGUGGCAGUCAUGGUUGCAUUUGGCCCACCAAAUGUUCUAGAUUAAAAAAGAUUUGAAGAUCAAUUAAAAUAUAUUAUUAUAAAUAUUUAUACUAUUUAUGACUUUUAUAAACUUAUCACCUCCUUAUCAAGGUCUUCUAGCAUUGUAACUAUUAUUGUCCACCUCUUACCAAAAGUAUAUUGAAUCUUGUCCAAAUAAUUGAAAUAUGCAAACAUCUUUACAAUACAUACUCACAUGUUUCUAUUGCUUUAUUGUUAUAAAAGAUAUACAAUCAAUUAUAACCCAUAAGCAUCUUCUAUUUGCCAAUAUAUAGCUCAUGUAUCAUUAUGAGCCAUCUAAGAAGAAAGAUUUUAAUUGAGAUCCAUAGGCAUCAUAAUUUAGAGUAAAAGUACUUAAUAUCAUAAGCAAUGAAUUUAUUUUUAUAUAAUAUUUUGUUAGCUUUAUUUUAUAUUAUCAAUUUUUUCAAAUCAAUCAUCUAUUUUUUUUACUUUUUUUUUAUCCAUAGAGUAGUACUUCAAAUAAGACAUCAUAUUUUUUUCAUUUCCAUUUGCCAUGGUCUAUGUCUUAGGAGUUGAUGGAUCAUUUAUUUAUUAGCCAUAUUAUGUAAGAUUCUCUCACAGAGUUAAAAUAAUUGAUAUUGAUGAAAUCAUCAAAGUAAUCUAUUCUAUGAACCACUCACACUUAUUUGUAUAUUUUAUCACCCUUGUCUAAUAUAUUUGAAUGGAUAAAUUUCAAUUCAUCUAAUAGAUUAGUUGUAUAUUUAUUACUUAAUAUUAUUUAAUUAGUGAUGUUGAAGAAGUGAUAUACUUCUAAAAUAUCACCUAAUGCAUUUAUUAACUAUAAUAUUUAGCAUCAAGCUCCACUCUAUCCAAUAACCUUAUCAAAAUAUUUGCCUAAAGUCCAUAUGUAAUUAUAAUUUAGGCUUUAUGUGAAUUUUUUGAAUUUUUUUUGAUAUUUACUAAGGCCUAGUAAUCAAAGUUAUAUCAAUAGCUUCUAUUAAUAUAUUUUAAAUGAGUUAAUUUGUAACUCAUUAGAAUAUUCUAUAUUUCAAUUACUGGAUUAAUUCUUUGGCUAAUUAAUUUGACUAAAAUGGCAUUAACAUAUAAGCUUGGAUUAAAUAUUUUUAUACCCUUGUAUAUUUGUUGUCAUAUGUUUGUGGUCUAUUUUACUUUCGUGCAUGCAAUGCCUAAGGUUAUGUUGCUCUAGAGGUAGUUUUUAGAAAUAGAUCUAACUAUUUUGAUAAUGUUAUUAGAUAGGAUAGAACUUCAUGCUAAAUACUAGAUCAAAUCUAAAAUUUCUUAAUUAAAAAUUAAUCUACAACCAACUAUAGAUAAUUUGUGGAUGUUCUAUUUGAUUAAAAAAUUUAUAAUCUAAAUAAGUACUUUGUUGUCCCUCUUCUCUUAUAGAACUCUGUAACUAAUAGAAGAGCCUUGAUAGCAUAUAGUUUCUUCUAUACAUUUUUAAUUGAAUCUUCUUUCGUCACUUUAUUUUUAUAUUUUUUUUGUAAUACAAUCCAUAUGGUAAAGAUUUUGUGCCAAUUCACCUUUGACUCUAAAGCUUCACUAUACCUAUUUAGAACCUUCAUCAUUUGUAUUAGAUUGAUUAGUUUUCUAAAAAAAAAUAAUGUAAUAUUAUUUGUAAAUAUUUGAUUGUCCACUCAUUAUUUGUUUGGCAUCUUUUAUCCUAUCACUUUAUAUUUUGAAUUAUCUAAGAUAUAAUUCAGAGCAUUGGUAGCAAAUAAAAAAAUAUGGUGCCAAAAAAUACUCUUGUCUUAUUAAUUGUUAUAGUUCAAAAAUUGGUUCUUAUUCUUCAUUGAUCUACAUUGUUGCAAAUGCUUUUAAACAAAAGGACAUUAUUGUCUUAACUCAUUUUAUUGAAAAUCCUAAUAUAAUUAAAAUUUAUAGAAGAAUGACUAAUUAAUCAAAUCAUAUGCUUUUUCAAAGUUAAGAAGUAUAAAAAUCAAGUCUUAUUGGUUUUUUUUUUAUCUCAGCAAUAACUUUUGUUAUUAAAAACACCUUAUCUAAGAUGUUGUGCUCUCUUAUCAAUUGAUUUAUCAUAAUUGAGUAAGUGGAACAACAUCCUAAUUGCUAUGACAUUUGCUAAAUUUUUGUAGAAAAUUCUUAAAAGUAAAAUUAGUCUAUAAUUUAUAAUUAGUAAUAAUUUAUCUAUUUUUGGAAUAAAAAUAAUCUUACUUAUGUUUAGGUAUUGGAUCAAGUUGUGUGUGAUAAAGACCUUUAAGACUAGUACUAUAAUAACUUCUAUUAAAUUAUCCUAGCAAAUUUAGAAGAAUUUUGAUGAGAUCAUGUCUAAUCUUAGUAUCUUAUCUUUAGGUAGUUGUUGAACAACCUCUUUUAUUAUGGAAUCAUCCACUACCACUACCACUUCUAAUUGUAUAUUAUAAUUAUCCAUUAUUACCUAAGGCACAUUAAUAUGUAUUAUACUUUGGUAGCUACAUUCUCUUUGAUAUCUUGAUCUUUAUAUUAUAACUCAAAAUAGAAUUGAAAUAGGAUUGAUCUAUGUCAAGAGUCUAAGACCUUUUUAAUCUAUAGCAACAUAAAACCUUAUCACAAAGUAGGAAAAAAUGAAUUAGAACAAAAUUGAAGAAAAUUAAAUAUAAUAGGACACAAAAGACAAAACUAAGUAAAUAGAAAUAGAAUAGAACAGAAUUGAAUAAGAAGUUUAAAACCAAAUUUUACUAAAAAAAAAGGUCUAAAGUUAUAUCUGACCAACUUCCCAAGAGGCUUUGAUCAAUCCUAUUUAUACUUUGUUCUACCACUCUAGACUUUUUAGAAUGUUACUAGAUGAUGGAUCUAUUUACAUAACCAUCAUAAAUUCUUUUUAGAAGGUUCUAUCAUAGGUUCUAUGUAGAUAACUACCUUAAGCCCUUUCUAGAAUGUUCCACAGUAGAUCUUAUAUAGUCCACUAACUUAGUCCCAAUUCUAAAAACUUCUAUAACUUUUUGAAGAUGGUUCUAACUAUCUAUUCAUAUGUGUCAAUAAUACAAAUAUCUUAUGUACACUUUGUUACAAUUAAUUUCUUUCUACUAAUAUAAAAUAUCUUGGUUUUACUUCCAAUGGUAUUUCCAAAUUGUCUCUUGGCAAUAGAUGAAGUUUUAUGUAGGUUCUUACAUUGCAUCAUGGAUGGAAUAAUCUUUUUAAAGAACUUUGUACUAAAGUUGUGGAUGUCUAUUGCCAUGAUAAAGGUAACAAUGCUCUAAAAUGCUACCUACUUCAUAUUUUUGUUGGUCAUCAAUUAUAACAAGUAGUGGUGGUGGUUGGUGUCAAUCUAAAAAGUACUUUGGCUUAAUAUAAAAAUACUUUAAUUGUAAAACAUGAACGAUUAGAUGGAUCCAAGUAUGUGGCAGAAGCUGGAGGCAAUAUGCGAUAUUAGAAAUCACUACAAAAAUAUAGAAAGAUCCAAGCCACCAAGGUACCAAUUUACGAACUUGAAUUGAUGUAGCAAGUGGCAAGUUGGCGUUGGAGAAUAAUGUUUGAUCACCCUUUCAAAAUAUCUUAUAUUUUUGGUGGUUAUCUACAUAUUACUUUUGUCGACAAACUCCUCCAUUGUUGAGUUGUUAGUAUUGAUGGGACAAUGAAGAGUUGCUGGCUAAUUGGAUGUUGACCACUGUUAAAAAAAAAUAGUGAAUGACUAUUACUUGCUUGAAUACUAUCAUUAUAAGGAAAUUCCAAUAGCAUCAAAUAUUCAUCCCAAUCAUUAUAAUGAAGUACCAUAAAUAUCCACAGCAUAUCUUUUAAAGUCCAAUUUGCAUAUUUUCUUUGUCCAUCUAUUUGGGGAUGAAAGGUUGUAGACAUGACAAGUCAUGUGCUUAGUAAUUUAAACAAGGCUUUCUAAAAAAAAAUUGUGAAACAUGGAUCUCAAUCUAAAGCAAUGAUACAAAAUAAUCCAUCAUAACAAAAGACAAUAUCAAAGACGACCUAUACAAGUGCUGAGGUAUCAAUAUUCAAGCAUACUAUGGCCAACUGAAGUUAAUUUGAGAGCCAAUGCACAAAAACAAAAACUACAAUGUAACUAUGAGGUGUUUGCAGUAAACACGUAGUGAGAUCCAUAGUUAUCUACUACCAAGAUACCGUAGCUAGUGAAAUUGGUUGCAAUAGUCAAAAAGAUGCUGCAAAGUAUAUUUUAUUAUAUUGACAUGACUUAUGGAAGUGCACUAAAGUUCAAACAUCACAAUCCAAACUUGCCAAAAAUCAUGUCUAUGAGAUUGUUCUAGAAUUUUUUCAUGCUCUAGAUAUCCACAUAUUAGGAUAUCAUGUCCCUCUUGAAGUAUAUGUGUCUAAAAUAUAGCAUUGUUAGGUACAUAAAUUUGCUUCUUGAAAUAGAGUAAGCUAUUACUAAAACUGUAAUCUUGAUAUUAUAUAUUAUCUAUCUUCAAUCAAUAGCUAAUCAUCUUGAAAUAAAUAUCUUGAUACAUAGCUUCUUUCUAUUUUAUAUCUUUUAUUAGGUUUAAAAUGAUACUAUUAAUGAUAGAAAUUUCUAUCUUAUCUCUCAAUUUGGCCUUCAAAUUUGGUCUUUGUGAGAAGUUAUUUGGCACAAUAUGUUGUCACCUUUCCUUGUAUUCAAGUUGGAUAUCAAAAAGUUGUAAUUAUUCUUUUUAACAAUAAUAUUUUAAUUUUAUAUUUUUUAAAUGCAAAUCAUGUAGCAAUGAUGAAUGGACAGUCCAAACAAUGACUAGCUUCUUUAACAGAUACUAUCGCCACACCUUUGUUGCAUGUACAAUUGUUAAUUACUCUCAAUCACGUACAAAGUAAUUGUGCUCUAUCCCUCUAAGCUUGCAUAAUUCAUAUGCCAUAAGUUGAAAGUUCUUACUAAAGUCUUAUUGAAAUACCACUCCAAUAGUAAAGUCGAAAGCAUCAAUGUAAAGUAUACAAGGAAGGUUGAAAUCAUAUGGUUGUAAUAUUGGAGCAAUAAUGAGUGCUUCCUUCAACCUAUCAAAGACACUUUGUUGCUCCAAUUUUUAUUCAAAUGGGGCACCUUUCUCCAAUAGAUUUAUCAAUGAAAUAGCAAUGAGUAUAAAUUACCGAACAAAAUGGCGAUGAUAUCUAUCAAGGCCUAAAAAUAAGUAGACUUGAGAAGCAUCCUUGGAGGUUGGCUAAUCUUCUACUACUUUCAUUUUAUCCAACUCCAUGUACACGCCUUCAAAGAAUACCACAUGCUUCAAAAAAGUGACUUUUGACUUCCAAAAUUCACAUUUUGAUUGCUUGGAAUAGAAAUGACUAUCUUAUAGUUAGCACAACACUUCUCGUAGAUGUUGCUUAUGCUCCCCAGGGAUUUUAUUAUAAAUAUGUAUAUCAUCAAUGAAAAUAAUUACAUACUUAUUCAAAAGAUCUUAAAAUAAUCUGUUCAUGUAACUCAUAAAAGAGGUUGGAAUAUUGGUGAGGCCAAAAGAUAAAACCAACCAUUCAAAAUGUCCAUAGUAUAUACAAAAUGCCAUCUUUUUUAUAUCCUCUCUUGGAAUAGGUAUUUGCCAAGAGUCUCUUUAAAGAUUCAAUUUACUAAAGAUAGUCAUACCUCAAAAUUGGUCAAAAAGAUCAUCUACGUGUAAAAGUGGAUAUGUAUUUUUAAUGAUCUGCUUAUUGAGGCCUCAAUAGUCAAUACAAAGCUAAAGUCCACCAUCCUUCUUGAAUGCAAAGACUACAUGUGCUCUCUAUGGUGAUGUACUUUUUCAAAUGAGAUCCUUCUCCAAGAAUUCAUCCAAUGUCUUCGACAUCUCUUCAAGUUCAUUUGGUGCUAGGCAAUAAAUUGGCCAACUUGUUGGUUUGGUUUCAGAUAAUAGUUUUAUUUGAAUGGGGGUAUCUUGAUCAGGAGACAUGCUACUAGAUAGGUUGGUUGGAAAGACAUCUUGAUAUUUUUGUAUGAAUUACUUUAUUAAUUCUAUUUCUUUGGCUAUCUUUCGUACUAUUAAUGUAAGAUUUAGAACCACCAUAUAUCUUAGUUUCUUAUGCUAUAUUUACUUCUUUAUAAAAGUCAUCUCUAUGAAUAAGUCUUUAAUUGUAGAUAGAUUUUUUUCUUCACUCAAUACAGAGGUAUAAAGAGCCACCUUGCAUCCACCAUCUUUGGCAUAUCAAAGAUAACAUCAUAUUUUAGCUUUGUCACCUUGAACCUCUUUCUUAAGAUAUAGGUGUCAAUUAACAUCAAGGUUUCUUCUUUAUAUGUCUCAUUCAAUAUAAAGACAGAAACCUUGAUGUUAAUUGAUACCUAUAUUUAUUGGGGGGCCUUACUUCCUUGCUUUAUCUCUUUAUAGACUUUGUGAGUCUUGAGAUUGUAAAUCUAUCUUGUUUUGUUGGUACUUGAAUUUUGACAUUUUAAACAACCUCUAGUCUCAUGGCCUAGUUCUUGACAAUAGAAACAUAAUCCUUUUUAUACCAAUAUUUGUCGACUUUGUAGUGUCAAUGAUCUUUGUAGGGCAUCAAUCUUCAUUGGCAUUGGUUUUUAUAUCAUAGUAUUAGAUAGUAAUAUAAGUCUUUGUACUAUAGGUUGUACUCCACAAUUUCUAAAAUCUAUAGCAUCAAUCAUCUCUGCAAUCCUACUUGCCUCUUCAAAUAUUUGUAGAUCCUUUAGUUCUACCUCUCGCUAGACUCCACAUUUCAAACCUUGUAGAAAUUGAUCCAUCAUCUUUGAUUUUGAAGCAAUGCCAAUUUAAAGACAUAGGAACUUGAAUCAAGAGACAUAAUCUUAUAUAGACUUAGAUUGUGUAAGAUCUGCCAAUUAAUUGCGUACUAUCUUUUCCACAUUAAUGGACCAAAAUUGAUUCUUAAACUUCGUCUCAAACUCCUCUCAAUCACAAAAUCCACCUUGAGCUUGAUAGCUUUGAAUUUAAUAUUACUACCAGAUGGCUAUCACAUCUCUCAAAUAGCUAGUUACAUACAUAAUUCUUUCAGUGGUAUUUGCCGCAGAUAGUUGAAAGUAUUGUUGCAUAUUAAAGAGCCAUUGACAUAUAUCUUCUUUUUUUGAAGUCUCACAGUAUGUAUUAGGCUUAGUCAAUUUCAGCUUAGUAGAUGUCGUCUUUCUUAUUCUAAAGGCUUCUAUUUAUCCUUGUAAAGUAACUAUUUGGCUUAAGAUGUACUAUAUUUGAGCUUCCAUCUAAGAUUGCUCUGCCAUAUCUUCCAUGUUGUAAUUCUUUGCUAAACUCCACUAUUGUAAUGCAUUCUCAUCUUUCAAUUGACUUUUUAUGAGUAGCUCUUAGUAGCCUCAAUAUAGUACACAGUAUGAACAUAACAAUUGGCCUUGAAUUAAAUGAUAACUAUCAACACACUACCAAAGAACAGUCUAACACUCACUUUGAUACCAAUGAAACAAAACCAAUCUAUUUCAAGAGUCCAAGAUCCUUCUAAUCCACAAUAACAUAAAACCUCAUUACAAAGUGGGACAAAAUGGACCAAAAUAAAACCAAAUAGAAUUAAAUAAAAUAGGACAUAAAAGAUAAAAUUGAGCAAAUAAAAAUAAAAAAGAAGAUGCAAAACCAAAUUUUAUUAAGAGAAAAGGUCCAAAGUCAUAUCUUACCAACUCUCCAUGAGGCUUUGGCUAAUUCUAUUUAUACUUUGUUCUACUAUCUUAGACAUUCUGGAAUAUUCUUAAAUCAUGAAACUCACUUAAAUAAUCAUCUUAAACUAUUUUUAGAAGAUUUUAUGAUGGAUCCUAUCUAAAUAAUUGUCUUAAGUCCUUUAUAGAAUGUUCUAUAAUAGAUCCUAUAUAAUCCAUUAAUCUAGUCCCAAUUUUAGAAACUUCCAAAUUUUUAAAAUAUUGUUCCAACUAUCUAUCCCUAUGUAUCAACAAUACAAAUAUCUUAUUUAUACCUUGUUAUAAGAAUCAUUAUAAAUAGUCUAUCAUUUUUUUUAUAAGAUUCAAUUGUUGUCAUUAAAUUCUCUAAUCUUAUAUGAUUUGUUUUUGCUUUAGAAUUGAAAAAAUUAAUUUUUUUUAUGUACUUGUUUCCAAUUCUUAUCUAUCUGGUAGCUUAAUUAUUAAAUUAUUUCUCUAAUUUUUGUUAUUUUAUUACAAAUAAAUAGAAUUAAGCUGUAUUCAACGUAUUUUGGGCCCUUGGUUGUUUUAGUUGUCUUAGAAUUCAAUCUCACUUUCUUCCAUGUUUUUAAUUUGAUUUUCAUAAAAUUUAUAUUAUUUUUAUUUUUAUUUUUUUAUCACAAGAUUUUUAAAUUGGACUACUUAUAAGGCUUUGACAACUUUGUAAUUCUAACUCUAGUGUCAAUUAGCAUUUAUUGUUGAUUUUCAAGUAGAAAUUAGUGUGUUUCUUUCUUCUACCAUUGUGAAUUAGAGUUUAUUGAAUGCUAGAAUUUUAGACAAUCUUUUGUUCUAUUGUCAUGUAAAAACAUGACUAUAUAAUAAAAAAUAAAAUAUAGAUAUUAUCUUAGAAGAAUCUAGUAGAAAGAUGUAGUAGAAAAUUAAGAAUAAAUGAUAGAAAAUUAAUAUAAUAUUUAGUUUUAAUGUUUUCUUUUAUAGAAUGAACUUCUAUUUAUCUUAUAGAAGUAUAAAUGAGCCAAAUCAAAAUAAAUGAAUUAAGAAUUUAAUAUAGACAUAUUUAAGAAAUAAUUAAUAAUAGAUUAAAUCAAAACUUAAUUCAAAUUUCUAAAAAUUAAUAUCCAAUGAAGACUAGUUAUCAAGCUAGAUUCUAAGACACAAAACCACAUUCAUAUGGCAACUUUGGGAUUCUUUGGUAGAACAAAGAAUAGAGUUUAAAAAUAAACAAAAAAAGCAAAUAUUUGGAUGUUGGUUUCAUAUUAUUGGAAUUAAUAUUGAAACUUUGAAGGAUUUUUAAAAUUAGUGAUAUUUUUGGUGGAAUGAAGGUUUGAAAAAUAAAAGUAUGUUUAUAAAUUUGAUAGUUUCUUAAAUUAUAUAGUUUGUAUAUAAGUAAAAUUUGGGCAAUGUAUUGUUGUGCUAGUUAUAAAUAUAUAUAUAUAUAGAUAUAUAUGUAAAUUUUGAGGUCAAUUUAACAAUUAGAUUUAACUACAUGAGGAUUUUUGUGGGUUGAGGUCUCAAAAAUUGGAAUUUGAAGGUCAGUGAGUAUUUUUAAGAUCUCCAACAAUUUAUUAAUUGGAUUGAAGUAAAAUUUUUUUGUAUGAAUAUGAGACUUGCUUUUCAACAUUGUUAAAAAGGCAAACCUCUUCAAGAAAAUAUAGAAUCCUUAAUCACAAGUCGAUUGCAAGAAGGCUCAAUGUUGUUUUAAAUAAAAUCAAAUAUAAAAGGCAAUUCAAAGACUAGGUACAUUUUAUAGAUUAAUUUCUUUCUUAUACUAGGAUGCAUCCAACUCUUAAUUCUAAUUUCAAAUCCAAAUUUUUUUACUAAAAUAUCUAUAAUUCAUUUAUUUCUAAUUCAAUAUAGAUAAAAUUUAGCUCAUUAAAAAAAUAAUAAAAAAAAUUAAAAAUUAAAAUCCAAUAAAUGGCAUAAAAAACUCCAAAUUGGUCUUGAAAUUUGCUAUUCAAAAACUCUAGCAACUCAUUUCCACAAAUUUGCUUGAAUCUCCUUCCUCAUUGUUCUAUUUUAUGCAUACUAUGGCUUAUUGAAAAGCUCCUAAUCAGAUCUAGUUUUUUUCUAAAUAUCAAUACAAAAAGAUAAAAGUAAAAUAAGUAGCAUAGAAAAGUCCAAAUUAGUGUUGAAUCUCUUUUCUUGAAAAUUCCAGCAAAAAAAGAAAAAGAAAAAAAAAUCCUACUUGAUUCCAAAACCUUCAUCGUAACCUUCUUUUAAUACAUGCCUUGAACCACUAUAUAAUUGAGUAUCUAUCCUAAAAGACAAUGACUUCAAGCUUGAAUAAUCCAUUCACGCCAAUAACAUCUUAUUUUUAAAUCUCAUUCAAAUUUAUAAAUAUAUUAGCAUUAUAUUCUUUUUCUCCAACUAAUGAAAUUAAUUACCCUUCAAAUAACUUUGAUGUACUUAAAUUAAGUGCAUUAUGAAAUUCAUCCCUUCCAAACCUAUACAUACUUUCAUAUAUACUAAAGAAUUGGACGACAAUACUACCAUCAUCAGAAUCAGAGUUAUUGUGAGUUGUAUCACUUUUGAACCAUUGAUUAAAAUAUUGAGGCUCAAAAGCCUCUAAAUCUUCUAUUUAAUUCAUCUCAUCUUGUUGCUUGAAGACUUGAAUUUACUUUUUUGCAAUCCUAGUCUCUAAUAGUGUCUUAUCUAACUUUCAAAGAUAAUAAGUUGUAUUAUUAUGCACUUCAACUACUACAUAGGGUCCAAAUCAAUGCAAUGCAAAUUUAAAAAGAGUAGAAUGUUGGUGCAUCAAACUACUAUCAAAAACCAAAAUUUAAUCACCCACUUUAAUUGGUUUAAGCCUCAAUUGACAAGUUUUAUUAAACCUCUCUUUGUUCUUCAAUCUUGCUACUUUAAGCUUCUCUAUAGCAACUUGAUGAUCAUUGAGUAAUCUUUUUAGUUGAUAAAUUUGAAGUUCCAACAAUCUCUCUCUAUCAAUGCCAUUCUUCUAAGAUAAAAACAACCAAGAAAAAAUAGACUCUUCUAUAGGCAUUAAAGGCUUUUGUUCCAACAUCAACUUCAUUAGCAUAUAGCUAAUAAUUAUACUAUGAAUAGUCCUAUCUGUCCAUAAAAUAAAUAGCAAAAGCCUAAGCCACAAUCUUACUUGAAUCCUAUAUGUCUUGAUUAAAGCUUAAAUGAUUGGAAAGUGCUUUCUUUCACUCUUAUCAUUUGCUUUAAAGUUGUAAGAGGUGGUCAGUUUCAGUUGCACUCCAUAUCUUGUAAAGAAAUCAUAUACCUUUACUACAUUAAGCUCACCUUGAUCUACUUUCAUUCUUUUAAUACUCCCAUAGCAACAUAAUCUUCCAAAAUAAACCGAUACACUAUCUUUGUGGACUUUGACAUCAAUGCCCUUCUUUCCAUAUAAUUAGAGACUUCCUCUCUUGCCAAAAUUAAAUAAUUUAUAUUUCAAAGUUCUAUUUAUAUGGCAACCAAAUCAAUCACCCAUUAAAAGUGAAUAGCAAGUAGAUAUGUAGGGCAUAAACUAUCUCUAUACUUCAUCUUAUAUUGCAAUUGGCAUUCUUUACAACAACUCUCAAAUUCCUUGAUAUCCUUGUGUAAGCCCUUCAACCAAUAGCAUUCUUUGAACUUAAUGUAAGUAGCUCAAAUUCUUCUAUACCUAGGCUAUAAUAUAUCAUGAAACUCACCUAAUACCUUGUGUUUGGUCUCUAAAUCAUCCACCACUCUCAAUGGCAUACCAUCUCUCUUUUUUUGCCUCUUCUAUAAGAAUCCAUCACGUAAAAGAUAGUUGUAGGAUUGGUACCUAAUAUCUUGAAAGUUCUUAUCCAACCAACUUUCUUGCCUCUCUAUUAUGUUCAAAUACAAGCCCACGUCUCUCAACUUCUAUUCAUACAAAUCAAUUUUGAAAGUUAGAAUCUCAUCACCUUGAUCUCUUCUACUUGUGGCAAAUACAAAGCCUUGGGCCAAGUUUCCAUCUUUCUUUUGUAUAAGAAUUUCUAGUUCUCUUGAAUACCUAGCCUUAGAUAACAUAUCUACCACCAAAAUAGGAUUCAGAGACUUAAUAAAAGUAAUCUAUCUAAGCAUAGUAAUAUCCAUUGUAAUACAAUUAGAAACCAUUCUAAGCAAAGGCAAGCAAUUGGUCUCUAAUACCACAUGAAUACUUAUUUUUUUUAGCCUUCAAUGUGUUAAGUACACUCCAAAGCUCUCUUUUCACUUGUAGAUAAGUUCUUUACUUCUUAGUGAGAAUCCUUGCUCCAAGUCUAAUUACAAAUUAGUUAUCUUCUUUAUAAUCUUGUCUAAUAAUCCAUCCAAUGGCUAUAGAACUUGUAUCAAUUGUCACUAUCACCAAUCUUUCUUAAUUAUAGUCCACUUGCUUUAAUACUAGUAGUAAUUUCAAAAACACCUUUAAUCCAUCCAUGGCCAAUUCUUGUUCUUUAUGACAUGCAAACUUCUUUUUUUUCUCAAUGAUUGUUAUAAAGGCUCCGCAAUAUAAAUAUAAUAGAAAAUUGAUAUAUGAUAAAAUAUACAAGCUACCAAAAAUCUUCUUACCUUGGUGAUGUUCUUACAUACCUUCAUCCUUGCUAUGGCAUCUAUCUUAUUUGAAUUUGAUUUUCUUGCAUAGCUUUCGUAUAAAUGCUCAACAAUCAUAAUUUUUUAAAAUCCAAAUAAGAACUUUUAAAGGAACAAAGUGAGAUUUACCUCUUCAAUUCUUUUCAAAAUGGGUUCUAUAUCUUCAAUAUGUUCUUUUAUAAAUGUACAACAUCCAUUUUUUCCUAAAGUCAAAUCCUUAACUUCAUCCUUACAACUUUUUAUUGGAAUAUCAUCCAAAAAGAAUAUGGUCUUUUCUAGCACAAACUCUCUUAAAAUUUGGUUCAUUCCAUUUUGUAAAUGAGCCAUGAAAUUAGUUGCAUCUUGUGGUAAGGUAUUCAUGUAUAUUAAAUCCAAAGAAUUUUUCAUAGUAAUUAGGUUCCAAUUCUCCUCUGCUAAUUGAAAUUGGUCAUAAUCUAAGUAUAAAUCUCUAUUAGAAUAAAUAGUAUGCCCCAUAAAAGCUUCUGGUAUUUUAACUAUUAUUAAUCCAGAUUCUAUAUUCUUAAUAGUCACAUCAUUGGUUGAUUGCUUAUCUUGAAUGAACCUAAGUGUUUCAAAUUUCUUUAAUACAAUAAACCAUCAAUUGGAGUAAGAUGCAAUAGAUGGUUUAAAAAUUCCCAUUUUUUCUUUUUCUUUUUUUUAUUAAAUCUACCAAUUUAGAAAGCAAAGCCUUUAAUAUCAAAAUAAACUUCAAGAUCCAAGAUAUAUGUGGAACAAUAAAAAUAACCUUAGGUUCUAUUAUACUAAGAUCUACUCAACUAAUUUUUUUAGGUACAAUGACAAAAGCCUUAUUAUAUUUGGAAAAAUAUCUCUAAAAACUUCUCGCCUUUCUAUCUUGGUCAAAAAAUCAUCUCCUUCAAUCUUCAAAUUAUUCAAAGAUUCUUUAAUAAACUUAUAAUCAAUUUUCCUUCACUCCUUCAAUCUUGGCCCUAUAGUAGCUUAUUUGAUAUGCUCUUUAGUAUCUUGAGGCAAUUGAAUUGCAACAAGCUUCACCUUCUUAGCUACGAUUUAUACUUAGUCUAUACUAUAGCCUUUGAGAAUAUCACAUGACUAUCAACUACCUCAAGCCUCCUAAAAAAUUCUAAAAUCUCCUCAUUUUUUUGCCUUGAAUGAAACUCCACAAAAAUAUUAAUUUCACUUCCAUCUAUAUUUAAAGACAAUCCUUCUAAAAUCUUUAUAUAAUAUUCUUUAAAUCCUUCUUUAAUAACAUUUAAAUGCACUCAUCACUUGAAAUUACAUUCAAUCUUUUUAAUUUAUUCUUAUAUUUUUUCAUCCAACCUUUAUACAUAUGACCUAAAUCUCUAAUCUUUUGAAAUUUCAAAACCUCUAAAGUUGUCAAAUUCGAAAAUCCACACUCAAAGCUAUCUACAUUAGGAAGUAUCUAGAUAAAAGACUUACUUGCAUUCUUAUAUCUCCAUGCUACAAGGAUGCUCUUUAGAAAUCCAAAAACUGCUCAUUGAUCUACAAAGAAGCUUCUCUCAAUUGGUCUUUAAUUUGUUCAUGAUUCAAUCUUAUUAAGAAGAAUUAUAUUGAUUUUUUUCCAUCAUAGUCCUUAAUCCUUACAUAGUAAGAGCCAUCAUCUAAAACCUUGGUCUCUAUCCUCAUAGCUGUGAUAUAAGAUUGUCCUAAAAUGAGAAGGUAAGUAGUAAAGUUUUGUAUAAAGAAAUUUUGCUCUACUUCCACAUCUCUAAUCCUUAUUCUAACUCCUAAACAUGCCUCAUACAAAUUACCUCACUCAUUGUUGGGAGCCCUCAAUACCUAUCCUUAGUUAACAUCAAUAGAUUACUUAUCUAUCUCAUAAAUCCUCCUUAAUAUGAUAUUAAUAUCCGAUCUAUGAUCAAUAAGUACUAUGGUGUGUUUUUUGAGGACUUUUAGUCUCAAUUCAGCCUCUAUAGUAGACUUAACUCAAAAAAGUUGUCCAAAUUGAGCACUCAUCCUCUCACCCUCAAACCUCCCAUAAAAAAAUACAAUUAGACAUAUUUACCUCACUUAUGUUUAUACCAUGCUCUAUCUCUUUGCCGCUUCUUGCUUCUUCUUGAUUUUUGCCUCUACUAUGGCCUUGAAUAAUUUUUUUUUUUUUUUUUUUUUUUUUUUUUUUUUUAUUUAUUUAAGUGGCAUCUCUUCAAAUAUAGAUACACAAAGUUGGAAGAAGACUUGUUCUAUCUUUUAGUCCUCUCCUUUUAUUAAAUAGGAUUCCAAUAUCUUUAUUAUAAUUACAUCCAUUGUCAUUUGCCUCUUUUUCUUGAUGGCAUCAAUGAUAAGCUCAUGAAAGUCCUUCUUUGCAAUGAAAAAGGCCUCCUUCAAGAUAAAAUUAAUUUUUAUAAAUUUAUCUAGAUAAGAAAUAUAAGAUAAAAGAUAAAUAUGAGUAAAUUUGAUAUUAUCUUAUGACACAACUUCUUAGAAGCUUCAUAGGUGCAUAUUUGAUUUUAGACAUAUUUACAGUUAAUUGGUAGGUUAGAAACUUAGCCAAGAAAUUAGCCAUGUAUUCCAUGUGCUAGUAGCUUAUAGAACAAGUUAAUUAUGUGGUGUAUGCAUAAUAAACUUGUCUUAUAAGUUAGACAUAUGUCUUACAAGUUGAACACAUAUCAAAGGUUCCAUAAAAUAUUGCUACAUAGCUUUUAAUUAGAUAGUAUAUAUGGAGGUAAGACUAAAGUCUUCUUCAAUCUUAUCAAUAUUUUUUAAGUCCUCAAUCUUCUUUCAAGACUUUCUAAUCUUUUGUCGUUGGCAACAGUCAUUCUAGUUUAAUAUUAUUCUACCAUUAAGUGAUUAUUUUAGUCUUUUUGAAUGGCACAAGAGCAUAUUAAUCUUUUAGUUUUUAGAGAUUCAUGACCUUAAUAGUUUGGUAAAAGUACUUACUCAUUAUUCUUGUUUUAUUUUUAAACUUGAGUAGUUUAUUCUACUUCUAUUAUUGUAUUUCAAUGAUUACAAACUACUUAUCUUUGAACUAACUUUUAAUUUUCAAACACUAAUCUUUUUUUUAAAAAAUAGUAUAUUAUUUUUUAUAUAAAAAUUUUCAUCUGAUAUUAGAGGUUGCAAAUUAUCCUCCUAUAAUUUAUCUUUUGGAUUUAUUUGAGUUGUUUAUGAAAGAAAAAAUUAUAAAUGCUACUCAUAUUAAAAGUAAGAAUAGAUUUGUAACUAUUAUAGAUCUUUACAAGCUUAUUAAUACUCUUGAGAUAGAAAUUUCACGUAUCUCUAAUAUCAACUAUAGAAGUAAUAUUCCUAUGCCUAUAAAAAAAAUAGAUAAUAAAGUCUAAAGUCUAUGCCAAAAAGUUGUGCAAUUUAAAAAAAUAAGUAGAUGAAGUUCACAAUUGAAUUUGAAGAGUCUUACUACUAUAAGUAUGAGAGAAGCAAGAAUAAGUAUGCUAAAAAAUUUGAUGGAUCAAAAUCAAAGUUUCAAAGGUUUCUGUAAUGUGGAACUUUAUGUAAGGCUGAAUUUUUUUAAAUAUCCUGAUGGAUUUACUCAAGUCAAAUUUAUAAGUACUUUUCUAUCUAGGAGUACUCUCUAUCAAUUUGUACCUUUGAUAAAAAAAGGAUUUAAAACUAUUUUAUGAUUUAAACUCAUCCUUAGAAGUCUUCAUAGCCACAUUUGGAAAAAAUAUUUGAAAGAAGAUAAUAGAGGCUAAAUUUGUAUCUUUAUGAGAAGAAUCACAUUCAGCCACCUUAUAUGUUGCUGAAUUCUAAAAUCUUGCUUAUAAUAUGGAUUGGAAUGAAAAAGCCUUUAUCAAUCAAUUUUGAUAUGUGUUAAAAGAUAAUAUCAAAGAUUUAUUAAUGAUGAUGCCAAAAGAAAAUUUAUUAAAGAAAUUAAUUAUUGAAGCCAUUGUAUGCCAUAAUUAAUUCUUUGAAAGAUGCUAAGAACAAAGAUUUGGUUGAAAAAGAACAAGUCAAGUUAUGGCAACAAUUUCUAAGUUUUUAGAAGCUUCAAGAUUAGAAUCUAUGUAAAUUGAUAUAAUACAUUUCAAACAUCUUGCUAAAAAAAAAUUAAAAAAAAUCAAUAUUGUCAAAAAGGUUUGUGCUUAUAUUAUAGAAAAUCUAAGCACACUAUUUAAUAUUAUUCAAAGAAGCAACGCAACCACAAAAUAAAGAGUAUGAUUGCCAAUGAGGAUAAUGUGUUGAAAAACUAAUUUUUCUAGCUACAAUAGAAAUUGUGUAGUUAAAAUCUUAUAUGAUACCUAAUAAUGGUCAUAUUCUCUCUUCAAAUCCUUCAAUUUAUUUUAUAAUAUAAUUUUUUUUAGAUAAAAAAAUAACAAAGACUUAGUCUUAUUACAUUCACAAGUCUCAAUUUAUUUUAUAGAUAAAGAUUUUAUUAAAAAACAAGAAAUAUAUUUAUUUAAAAAAAUCAAACUUAUACAUAUAGAAGUAAUAGAUGAAAUAAUAUUAUUCAUGAAAUUAUUUGUUUAGAUGUAACAACUAAUAGUCAUAAAAGCUUAAUAAUAUUUAAUGUAAUUAGAUCUUCUUUUAAUCUAGUCAUUUUAAGAUUAUUAUAACUAGACAUACAUAACUUUUAAAUACACUAGAUUUUUAAUAAUCUUAAUUUUUUUCAUAGUUUAAUUGAAGAUUAUAUUAAUCAAGUAAAAAUCCAUAAGUUUAAUAUAAUCAAAUCUUUAUUGCUAUAUAUGCCACAUCCAUCUUCCAUGGUGGAAAGACUAAAAUUUAUAUUCUAAGUCAAUUUUAAGAUCAUCAAGAUGUUUUUGAAAAGAAAAAUAUGCAUGUUUUCUCAAAGCAUCAUUUGUGUCAUUGUUCAAUCAAUCUUGAAGAAAGAAUUUGACUGCGAUUUGGACUAGUUUAUAAUUUAUUGCAAUACAAGUUGGUUGCAGUGAAGGAAUACAUUGACAAAAAAAUGGCUAAGAACUUCAUACACUAUUCAAAAUCUCCAACUUAUGCUCCUAUCUUAUUUAAGAAGAAGAAAGAUAGAUCAUUACAGAUGUGUAUAGACUAUUGAUGACUCAAUAAGAUCACUAUUAAGAAUAGGUAACUUUUACUUUUAAUUUUAAGAUUUCUUGAUUAAAUAAACUAAGUAAAAAUCUAUACAAAAAUUGAUCUAUAAGAGACAUAUAACUUGAUAUACAUCAAAGAAAAAGAUGAAUGGAAGACUAUGUUUUGAACCAAGUAUAGGCAUUUCCAACAUAAUGUCAUAUCUUUUGGACUUAUAAAUGCAUUAAUUACUUUUGAACAUCUAAUAAAUAAUAUUUUUUAAGAAUUUCUUCAUGAUUUUAUAAUAAUUAUGUAAACAACAUUUUAAUCUACUCUUAGAAUAUAAAAGAAUAUGAACUUCAUAUAUGUUGUAUAUUACAAAAAUUUAGAGAUGCAAGACUAUAUGCUAAGAUAAAAAAAAUGUAUAUUUCACACUACUCAAGUUAAUUUUUUAAGAUACAUCAUUUCAAAUAAUGGCCUCAUGAUGAAUCUUAAGAAAUUUCAGACUAUCUUGGAUUAGAAGACUUCAAAAAUAAUAAAAAAUAUCCAAUUUUUUUUGAGAUUUAUCAAUUAUUAUCUAAUCUUCAUCAAAUUUUUUUUAAGUAGUGGCUCCUCUUACACAUCUUACAUACAAAGAAAAACGUAAGUAGAGUAAAGACAUUGAAGCAUCUUUUAAAGCUUUAAAGACAACUUUUAUUUUUGCACCAAUUUUAUAUUGUGUCAACUUUUUCAAUACAUUAUUAUACAAAUAAAUACAUUAGACUUUGUUUCAAAACUAGUAUUUUCACAAAUAGGAAUACCUAAAAACUUCCAUCCUAUAGUUUUUUAUUCCAAAAAAAAUUCAGCAAUUGAAAUUAACUAUAAGAUUUAUAAUAAAGAAUUCCUUGCAAUUAUGGAUUCAUUUCAAAAAUGACAUCAUUAUCUAGAAGGCACUUUGAGUCCAAUCACUAUGUAUAUAAAUGAAAAAAAUCUUAAGUAUUUCAUAUCUAUUUGUAUUUUGAAUUGUUGUCAAGUAUGAUAGAGUAUGUCUUUAUUAAGAUUUGAUUUUAAAAUCACUUGUUGACUAAAAAAGCAAAAUAAUUUAUAAGAUGCUAUUUUUAGAUAUUUUUAUUUUAUAUCAAAAGAAAAAAAUAUAACUUUUGAUCAAUAAAGAAUGAUUUUCUUGAAGCAAAAAUAUUUUCAUCUUUCAAUAAUAAAAUCAACAUUGACUACUGAUUCAACCUUUCUCAAGUAAAUUUAAGUAAAUAUAUCAUUUGAUUUUCUUAUUUAUGAUAUUAAAAAUAAUUCUUCUAAUUCUUAUGUUACUAUUAAGUUUAAAUUUAAGAAUAAUCUAUUCAAUUUUAAAAUUACUUAUAUAUUAUAAAAAAUAAAGCAUAAUUAUGUGUUAUUCAAAUUCAUCACAAAUUUUUAAGAACCAAAUAUUUUAGAUAUAAUAAGACUUUGAAACUAAUAUCCAUAGAUUUUUAGUGGCUUCAAAUAUAGAAGGGAGGUAAAGACUUCGUGCAAUCAUAUGACAUUUAUUCAAGAUUAAAAACUCCUUGUUAUCAACCUUAUAGACUUCUUCAAACAUUACAUAUUUCAAAACAAUCAUAAUCUUCUAUUUCUAUAAAUUUUAUCAUGGAUCUUUUAAUCUCAGGUUCUUAUGAUUCUAUAUUUGUGAUAGUAGAUCAAUUCACUAAAAUGGCACAUUUUGUAUGAUAUAAUAAAUUAUUACAAGUAAAAAAAUAACUAAAUUUAUUCUUCACAAUAUUUAUUGCUACCAUGAAUUGCCAAAAGAUAUUAUAUUGGCUAGAGAGAUUUAAUUUGUAUUGAGAUUUUAGAUUUUUUUUUUUUAAGAUUUUAAAGAUAGAUAUAAAAUAAUCUUUGGCUUUUCAUCUUUAAAUUAAUAGAUAAAGAAAGCAAAUGAAUUAAGUUUUAGAGUAGUAUUGAGAUAUACCAUCAACUACAAAUAAGAUAAUUAGACAACUCUUUCACCAUUAGAAAAGAUUGCUUAUAAUAAUAUAAUAUAUUUUUCUAUGCAAUAAAUAUCUUUUUUUGCUAAUUAUGAUAAUCUAUUAUAACUUAUUAUUUUUGACUUUUCAAGAAGUUGAUAAUUAUGCAACACAAGAUUUGGCAAAUUGUUUAACUAAGCUACAUGCAACAAUGAAGGUACAAUUAAAAGAAGCUCAAGAAUGACAAAAGAUCAAUGCAAAUGCUUAUAACAAAGAACAAUCUCAAUUCCAUGUUGGCAAUGAAGUAUGAUUACUUCAUCCUAAUAUCAAGACUAUUUUCCCUUUUGAGAAGUUGGAUUAUUGUAGACUUGGAUUAUUUUUUAUAUAUAAAUAGAUUAAUCUAGUUUCUUAUUGAUUGCACCUAUUAGAGUUUAUAAAAAUUCAUCUUGUAUUCCAUAUAACUCUUCUUGAGCAAUACAAGAUAAAAGAUAUAUUAAAAAAAAGUUAGAUGCCAUCUCCUCAUAUAAAAGUAAAUAAUAACCAAGAAUAUGAUGUUGAAGAAAUCUUAGAUUGAAGAGAAUGGUAAAAUAGAUUAAAAUAUCUUAUUCAUUAGCAUGGAUAAGAUGUUAGUAAAGACAUAUGGAAGUCAGCCAAGAAUCUUACAAAUGUAAUAAAAAAAUAUUGAUGUUUUUCAUUAAUAACAUCCAUCCAAAUCAAGAUGAAGGUUUACAAAUUUUUACUAUAAAAGAAAUGUUGUUAAAAAAAUAUAUUCUACCAUCUAUUCUUGUUGUAAUUCUUAUGCAUUUGUGAUAUUAAAGAGAUGGAGAAUUAAAAACCAAUAGAUUCAAUUUAAGAGCUAUCGUUUGCUGAGUUAUCAAACAAGACAUUAUAACUUUUAUAAUCUUCAAGACGAUGCAAUAGAUAUGAAGAUCUUCAAGAAUGAUAUGUUCUUGAUUAAAUAGAUAGUAAAAUAUAACAUGUUUAUUAUCACGACCUUAGAAGCAACUUUUGAUACUUGGUAAUAUUAUUAAAAGUAUGAACCACCUCUGAUAAUAUUCCAAAUAUUUAUUUGAAUGAAUUUAUGAAGGCCUCAAUAAUGAUCAAAUAAUAUGGUGGUCUUUUUGUCCUAAUGUGGGACACUAUUGAUAGCUGAGAGGAUCUAUCAACUAUCUUCAAAAUGAACAAAGAUCAAAAUAUGUAGCAAACAUAACUUUUUGCAUGUUGGACUUCCUCAACAUAUGAUUGAUGCUCUUUAUAGACCAUGUUCCUAGAAAAAAAAAAAAUGUUACAGACAUACAUAUUUAUUUAAAUAAGAAGUAUUAGGUAGAAGGUAAAUAUAGGUAGAUUUGAUAUUAUCUUGUAAUUAACUUCUUAGAAGCUUGAUAGAUAUAUAUUUUAUUUUAGACUUAUCUGUGAUUAAUUGAUAGGUUAGAAACUUAGCCAACAAGUUAGCCAUAUAUCUCACAUACUAAUAGCUUGUGGAACAAGCUAAUUAUAUGGUACACAUGUAAAAAUCUUGUAUUAUAAGUUAGUCAUGUGCUGAAGGUUCUAUAAAACGUCAUCAUAUAACUCUUUAUUAAAUAAUAUAUAUGGAAGUAAGAGUGAAGCCUUCUUCACUCUUCUCAAUGCCUUUCUAGUAUUUAGUCUUUAGUCUUAUUUCAAAACUUUCUAAUCUUCUUGUCUUUGAUAAUAUUUAUUUUAUUUUAAUAUUAUAUUAUCUUUGAAUGAUUCUUUAAUCUUUUUGAAUGGCACAAGACUAUGUUAAUCUUUUAAUUCUUUGAAAUUCAUGUCUUUAAUACAUGAAAUUUCUCUACUUUAUUCAAGAAUUGGAUUUCAAAGGAAGUCCAUCCAAUCAUAGUGAUAUAUUUAAUUAAUUGGUGUAAGAAGUAUCUAGUUCAAUCUUAGAUGGUUUUGAAAGUUGGAUCCUUGCUAAUAUGCUCAAUGAAUAUUAAAUUGGUUGAUUUCUAUAGAAUAUUACUAUUAGCUUCAAUAGUUGAAGAUUUUAGUAUAAUUGAUAGGUAUUGAAAAAAGAUUGAAUAAUUAGGGUUAUCAAAACCUAAUUCUAUAGAGCUCACAUUUUAUUUUUAUUGAAACGAUACUAGUGUGUACAAAAUGGUGAUGUCUUAUGUAAUCAUGAGUAUGAAUUCCAAGAGUUCUUCUACAAUGCUCUUCUUAUAGCUCACUCUAAUGCAGGGAUUCUGUCUAAUAAAUUCCUUAAAUUUUUUUCUAUUUGUAUUGUAAGAUGUCUUACAUCUGUUCAAUCAACAUUCUUUGAUUAGAUAAUACCUUCUCUUUAAGCCUUUGAAUCUUUUUGUAUGUUUUUUGGACAAGUCCUGUUCUUAGAAGUAUUGGUGGUACUAAUAAAUUUCUUUUUGGAUUUGUUCCUAAAAUAUGAUAAAGUUUCAACUUUAAUUCUUCAACUCCAUUGUUGGCUGCUCUUGUAGAUUUGGUAAUUGGUUGGCUAUAAUUGUCACCUCAUGCAUAUCAACUUUAUAGCAAGUAUUGUUUCUAGUGCAUAUUUGUCUUUUCUAUGUUUGUUGAGUGAAUAGUGGUACAAUUCUUCUUAUGUAUUUAUGUUGUCUUUCUAUUAGACUAUAAUAGCUCUAAAAGUGACAUUUAAUUACUUAUGUGGUACAGUCAUGUCUAUCUAAAUUCUAUUGUUGCUUUAAAUAAUCUAAAGUAUGUUCUAUCAUAUUUCACUCAACUUGUGGAUUCAACUUUAAUGUUGUUGUUGUAAAGACAAAAGAUGUUUAUAUACUCUAAACUGGUUUAUUAAUCAUAAGAAACUCAAAGUUGCUAAAAAAAAUGCAUUAUUUAAAUCAUCUUGAUGCAUAGAUUCUUCUAAAUAAUGUUGAAUGCAUGAAAAUGCUCUACUAUCUAAAUUGUAUCUCCAUUGAAUGAUCUACCAACAUUCUGCCCUAAAUAGUUGUCACUCCACCACACUCAUUGUCAUUCACUCUGCUCCACCACACUCAUUGUCAUUCACUCUGCUCCACCACACUCAUUGUCAUUCACUCUGCUCCACCACACUCAUUGUCAUUCACUCUGCUCCACCCCACUAACCGGCUCUACCAACUAAGCUACAAACAUGGACCAUUAACUUUGAGUCUAUGUUGAAACACUUUCAAUCAAUCAUGACAAUAGAAGUUUAUAAUUUUUGAUGCUAGCAAUAUUCAUGAACUUUUUCAAAUUAACAAUUUACAAUUGCCAUUGCAGGAUUUGGAAAAGGUAUCAAGUGGAAGCGGGAAGUAAGACGGCAAAUGCAUGACCCCAGAGAGCGCUGCUGAUUAUUGUCCAGAACGUGUAUCAAUAAUACGUUGAUUGCCUUACUAGGAAAGUAUAGAAAUUGUUAUUAUACUUAACUGUAUAGUAGUCACAAAGCAUGUACAAUAGUAGCACCGUGCUCCUGUUUGGAAACAGAAUUCCAAGCGUGCAUUCGGAAGCAUAUCGGAUGCGUAGAAAGCAUCACUUACCAUGCAAAACAAAACUUUCAAGAGCAUACAGAAAUCCUUCUCAUUUAUUGCGAGUUUUUACGGGGUCCCAUUGUGAUUAUGACAGUACAGAAUUCCAAGCGUGCACUCGGCAGAAUAUUGGAUGCGUAGAAGGCAUCACUUACCAUGCGAAACAAGACUUUCAUCAAACAGAAUUCCUUUCCACAUUUGGCUUGGUGUUUUCGGGUCCAACUGGGAAAAGAUAGUUUGGACUCACGCGCGAGAACCUCAGGUGCAGAUAAAAUCUAUUCUCAAC
Molecule: long non-coding RNA, 27698 nt
Filed under: Physcomitrium patens
Lineage: Eukaryota; Viridiplantae; Streptophyta; Bryopsida; Funariales; Funariaceae
Description: long non-coding RNA (PPAT_LNC014399)
Source: RNAcentral